UACAGAGGGUGCAAGCGUUGUUCGGAAUUAUUGGGCGUAAAGCGCGUGUAGGCGGCAUUGCAAGUCGGGUGUGAAAGCCCUGGGCUCAACCCAGGAAGUGCGCCCGAAACUGCUUUGCUUGAGUACCGGAGAGGGUGGCGGAAUUCCCCAAGUAGAGGUGAAAUGCGUAGAUAUUGGGAGGAACACCAGUGGCGAAGGCGGCUACCUGGACCGGAACUGACGCUGAGGCGCGAAAGCGUGGGUAGCAAACAGG
Molecule: ribosomal RNA, 253 nt
Filed under: uncultured bacterium
Lineage: Bacteria
Description: partial 16S ribosomal RNA
Rfam family: Bacterial small subunit ribosomal RNA
Source: RNAcentral